Brassica rapa (field mustard) is the source of this 7008-nucleotide long non-coding RNA. RefSeq lists it as uncharacterized. The record is from RefSeq and is a predicted model, not a curated record. NCBI's taxonomy places the organism in Eukaryota, Viridiplantae, Streptophyta, Magnoliopsida, Brassicales, Brassicaceae.
UUGAGAAUUCUUAUCUCCCACGGUAGCCUCUCCUCUCGACGCGUAAUCGCGGGUGAUAUUCUUCUGAACGCGUCUCUUGUCUUUUGUUUUCUGCCUUACGUGUUUGGCCCUCUUGUUUUGUUAUCUACGUCGUCUCGCAGGAGGAUGUUUCAACGCGAUUUCUUGGACCGAUCAUCGCUAGGGUUUUCACUUUCCACGGAUGAUUCUUGAUUGAUUCUCUUGCCACGCGUGCGUUAGUCUUCAGGGGUUUCUCUAAUCCCUUUCGUUCCUUACGUUUUUAUGUUGCGAUCAUCGUUGCCGCUUCCGAGUUUUCUCUAGAUUUCAUCGGUGGACCUUUUUGUUCCAUGUGAUCUACUUGUCGUCUUGUUGUUUUAGAUUGUGGAGGAUGCUUUCUUUGAUGAUCGAUGAUGGCGUUUAGGCUUGAUCGCUCUUCAAGGGUUUUCUCUUUUGGCGGUUUAGCAAGGCUUCUCUCCUUUUCCUUUUCUUUUUUUUCAAAAAAAUCUUCUUACAACAGAAGGCGGUCCUGUCUUAAAGCAAAACCAUGUUAUUUCGUGUUGAUAUAGAACAUGGAGGCUCUAAGAGAGAAGCAAUCGGGACAGCUCUGAAUAGGUUUCUCUGUUUUCUCAUGCUUUACUUGUUUCCCCCAUGAGAAUUACUCUCUCCUUCGUUAUAGGUGUGUGUCGAGGAGGAUGAUCUUCUAUCUUAGACCGUGGAAGGGAACAAUGUUUUGCGUAUGAUCUCGAGUUCUUGGUUAUAUACCCUUUCCACCUACGGAUUAUAUCUUUUGUUGAGUAUUGGUUAUUGUGGAGAGGUAUGAUGUGUCCUCCCUGUUUUCCAGAUCAGUGUACACAUAUUCAGAUGAAGACGGAUGUUAACAGAUGUGAUUCGAUCAUCGUUGCCACUUCUAAGUUCCAUGUGAUCUACUUUCCUUUUUGUUGUUUUAGAUUUGCGAGAGAUGCUUGCUUUAAUCCAUGAUGGCUGUUUUGGGUUGAUCGUUCUUCACGCGCUUUCUACAGGGCUUCUGUCUUUUUCCUAUUUUUUAAAUUCCUUAUUACACAAGCCGGUCCUUUUUUUUCCCCUUUCUUAAGCGAAACAUGUUUUUCGUUUUGGUAUAGAACAUUAAGGAUCCAAGAAAGAAAGGCAAUCUGGAUGGCUCCUGAUCAAUCUUCUUCCCGGUUUUAGGUUUCUCUGAUUUCUCUUUGCUAAAAGGAUGGUUUGUUUACCUUUCUGGCAGAUUCUUGUUACCCUUGUAUUCAGUGUUUCUAUGUUACUUUUAAUGGAGCAUCGACGAGAAACAAUUUGAUUUGUGGAAGGGAAUGAUGGUUUGCGUAUAAUUCCUAGUUCUUGGUUAAAUCUUCUUAGCCUAUGGAUUACUUUUGUUUAGUAUUGGCUAUUGUGGGGGAGGUAUGAUGUGUCCUCUGUUUUUUACAGAUCUGCUUUAACUAAUCAACUCACUCUGUUCUUCUGCGGUCUACACACGUCCAGAUGAAGGACGGAUCAUAACAGUUGGGUUUGUUCUUCUUUUGCUGUUUCCAAGAUGGAUUGCUCCACUCUGUCUAUUAAAGUAGUCUUAAAGAUUGUCAGUUCUAUCAAUUAUUCAGCUUGUAUCAUCAGUCUGCGUUCUCCAUAGAUUUUGAAAUGUUUUGAGGAAAGCUCUCUCGUCUAUGUUACAGAUGGAUGCGAUUUCAAAAAGAGAAAAGCAGGACUACUCUUCAUGGUUUAUCUGUUUUGGUUUAUUCGUUCCUACUUCCUAACCACAGUAUAUGAAUUUACAACGGUGGCUUUUCUGUUCAUUCUAUCUACUUCUCGUUUUAGAUUGUGGAGAAUGGUGGCUUUGAGCGAAGAUGAUUGUUAGGGUUGAUCCUCUUUCACGCGUGUACAAGGGCAUAUGUCUUUUUUUUUUCCUACUUCAAUUUCCUUAUCACAGAAGCCGGUCUUUUCUCCUGUCUUCACCGAAACAUGUUUUUUUCGUUUUGAUAUAGAAGAUGGAGGCUCCAAGAGAGAAAAGCAGUGGGGGAUGGCUCUGAUCUACCUUUCUUAUGGAUGGCUCUUGAUCUAUACAGUCUUCUCUAUGACUUUUCCCUGUUUUUGGUUACUAUAUUACGUAUAGAUGCGAUCAAGUUUUCUUCGCCCUUAUCCGUUUUUAUUUUAUUUUACAGUGUGCGUGUAUUCUAUGGCUUGAAUGAAAAUCAUUUGUGCUCAAGAUGGUAGCCUCUCUUUCUCUUUGAAUUCAGUUUUUAUUUUGGAUUAUUCUGUUUCGACCGGUUUGUGCAUAGUCUUCUACAUCCAGGGCUGUUUCAGGCUUCCACAUUUGUUAUCAAGUCAUGAGCCACUUCUUCCAUGAGAUAACUGCCUAUGCAAGUGAUGUUAUCUCCUAGAUCUUUGAUAGCUCCCUCAAGGAUCAGUUGUCAAUUAAUUGGUUAUGCAUUAUUUCUAUCCUUGUUUUUGUUUUUGAUUUUGUAAGCAUGUUCUUGAGCUGGUCUACUUCGUCCAGCGCCACCAAUUUUGAAAGUCGUUUUGUUUUGGACAGGGAUCUUUGACCGUUGUAUCGCAGGAUGUCUUUUAGCGAUUUCUUGGACAGGUCAUCGUUCCUACACCAGUUUGUUCACUUUUCACAUCGGUUUUAACGGGUUAUUGUUUAUUCUAGCGUUUGGUUUCGAGAUUCCAUCGGCUGGCUUUUCUGGUCAUUCAGUUUUACUUUCAGGUUCUGGAAUUUUAGAUUCUGGAGGAUGCUGUGAUUGAUCGGUGCUAUGCUACGUCUUCAAGGGUCCUCGCUUAUCUAUUUCCUUCCUUACCUCCUUCCGACUCGUAGAACAUGGAGAGCUACCGGGAUUUGUAUCUGAUCAUUCUUCUUUCCUCGUUUUAGGUUCCUCUGUUUCCUCGUUCUAUAUUUUAUUUCCAUGAAUUACUCUCUCUCUUUCUCCGUAUAUAUGAAAGGAUGAUCUGUUUUCUUACCGUUGUAUUUGUGGUUUCUAUGUUACUCGACUUUGGUUUCCAUCUUAGAUCGUGAAGAAUCGACGAGAAAGGAUUCCCUUUGUGGAUGGAAAUGAUGGUUUGCGCAUGAUUUCGAUUCCUUGGUUAUACCCUUUUUGCCUACGACUAUUUUUGUUGAGUAUUUGUUAUUGUGGAGAGGUAUUGUGUCUUCUGUGUGUUUUAGAUCUGCUUAACCAAUCAAUUCACUCUGUUCCUCGGCGGUGUACGGACGUUCAGAUGAAAGAUGAAUCAUAACAGAUGGGUUUGUUCUUCUUUUUGCUGUUUUCAAGAUGGAUUACUUCACAAUUCACUCUGUCUCAUAAAGUAGUUUUAAGUUUGUCAAGUUUAAGGUCCUAUGAUGCAGAAAACUCUCUGUCUUUUUGUUGUAGAUGGUUGAGGUUUCAAAAGAGAAAAUCAGCAGGCUACUACUUGGACUCUUCAUGGUUUUAUCUGUUUUGGUUUAUUUGCUUCUCUUCUUUGCCUUUUUGAUUUUUCAGUCUGCAUCUAUUCUAUGGCUUGAAUGCAAAUCACUUCUCCCCCGAGAUGGUAGCCUCUCUUUCUCUUUGAAUUCUGUUUAUUAGUAUAGGAGGAGUUUGGAUGAUUCUGUUUCGACCUGUUGUUUAUAGUCCCCUGUAUCAGUACAUCCUGCCCUGUUUGGCUGUUUCAAACUUCUACAUAGUUGUCUCAUCAAGGAUGAAUUUGGAGCUUCCAGUAUUUGAUGGAUUCAGGUGUCAUUAUAGAUUAUUGCGUGUGCAAGUGAAGUUGAUCUCCGAGCUCUUCAAUGGUUGCCUCAAGGAGCAGUUGUCAGUUGAGGGUUAUGCGCUAUCUUUGCUUUUUUUAUUUAAUUUAGUGCAUGACUACUUCUCUCCCCGGGUUAAUUUGAUAUUUGUCAGCAUGUUCUGGGCUUGGUCUAUUUUCUACAGCAACCAACCAUAAGGUAACGUUGAAGUUUCUUAUGAGUUUUGCUCCUCCUAUAUAUGGAAACGUUUUGUUUUGGACAAUGAUCUUUUGUAUAGUCUCUGGUGAUAAGUCGGCCGCGGGUGGAUAAAGCUCAGAUAUCUUGGCUCUUGAUCCUGUAUGUUCUCUUUUUUUUUAAAUGUAGCUACCAUGCUUGUUCUUGUGUUUUUUUUCUUUUAGAUUGUGUCCUUUGUCCUUCUUUUUGUGUUCCCAGAUUUUCAGUUCAUCAACCAGUUCACCCUCGUUGUACACCCAUUCAAGUUGAAAGUUGAUCAACAGAUGGGUUUGCUCUUUUUUUUUUUGUUGUCCGGUCCUGGUUUGAUUUGUCCUGUAGAGAAAGCUUUUGUAUUGAAUGAUCUUCAACUAUUCCAACGAUCCUUUCCAGCGUCAUCCGUGUUUUCGAUUGAAGAGAAAGCAGCACUUGUCAGGGAAGGAUGGUUCUCUUAUAAUCAGGUUUCUGGUUAUGUCGGUUCUAUACAUCGCAUUGCCUACAUAUUUUUUUUUACCUGAACAGCUUUUGUGGGGAAUAUAUGAUUUUUCUUUUGUUUGUUUCCAGAAUCUAUGCGGAGGAUGAUUAUUUGUAAAUGGGUUUGUUCUUAUUAUUAGUCCUUUCUGGCUCCUUUUUCUCUAAUACUGUGUACGGUGGUUAUUGAUUGUAAUAAACUAUUAUACCGGCUCUUUACAGUAGCAGACGUAUCGCAUCUUACGGAUCUGUCGCCUUAUUGAAGUAAGCUCUGGACUUUCUAGACCACAAGUUUGUAAUUCUAUAAUCUUUCUUCUAGAUAGGAGUUCUUUUAUGGUGUGUCUGUGUCAGGAAAACUUUCAACACUUUUGAUCAAACCAUUGAAGGGUCGUUUUAGUGGACUGUUAAGUCUGACCUCCUCUAAUGAAGAAGGCUCAAGAUGGUUUGUCAAUGGUCUUUUCUUCAACAGUCGUCUUUGUUAACUCUUUGGUGGUUUCUUCUCUUCUCUGAUAUUUUCUUUACUGCAUCUCUUCUAUGAUAUGUGUACGUCUGUUUGAGAUGAUGGCUUCUCUUUCCUAAGGCCAACAUUAUCAGUUAGUCCCUUAAGGGUCCCUAAGGAGGGGGAGGGGCCACAAAACAUCAGGACCGAGGAAAAAAGAAGAGAAAAAGUCCUUAAAUAAGGGACAAAUGAGUAAGCUUCAGGUUCCUUCUUCCUCGUUUUUUUGGGAGGCUUCAUUGAUAUUUGGGAACACGCUAACGUUGCUUCGGUGAGACAAGGUAGCGUUGAAGUUGUUCUGAGUUUUGAUCUUCCUUUUUGUUAUGGAGAUGUUUUGCUUUGGAUACCCUUUUCUACAGUUGAGUCUGGUGAUUGGUUGGCUUUGAGGGAAGAAAGCUUCGGGUUCCUCACUGCCUUGAAGUCACUGGCUUGCUGCAAGAAGUUGUAUUUAGUCUGACGGUUUUCUCGGCCUUGUUCCCUUUGUUUCCUAUUUUGCUAGGCUACUUAUCUUGGGGGUUUAUUAGUUGAUAGUUGAUAUUGGUAACACUUGUUUUGCUGCUCUCUGAAGGUUAAUAAAUAUCUGCUAAAGGAAGGUUUUGAGGAUGCAAUACAAUGUAUUUCAGUUUUUUUUGCUCCAGGGAGUCAAGGUAACGUUGAAGUUCUUCCGAGUCCUAUUCCUCGUUUUUUUUGUUAUGGAAACGCUUUGCUUUGGACAAAAUCUUCUACAGUUCAGUAGUCUGGUGUUUUGUUGGCUUUAAGGGAAGUAAGCUAUGGGUUCAUCAUUGGUUUCACAAGAGAGUCUCUGGUUAGUUAAUUUUGUUGGCUAGCCUUCACCGGAAGUAAGCUUAGCUUCUUCGGGUUUGUCAGUCCCCAUCCUCUCUUUCCUUGUCCUGAUUUUUUGAAUUCUCGAGUUACACGUUCUUUGGCUCACGGAAGGGUAAUGUAGUAAUGUGUAUUUGCUAUUAGAUUUGGAGGAUGGAAUAUCAUGGAUAUUUGAGAUUUGCUCUUUCCUUGAGAUAGUGACAAGGUAACAUUGAAUGGCCUCUUUGAGAUUUGCUCUUUCCUUUCUUUCUGAUAUGAAAACAUCUUGCUCUGGACACUCUUCUAUUGGAUAUAGUCUUCGGUGAUUUGAUAUGGCUGGGAUGGAUGAAGCUCAAAUACGGUGGCGUUUGCUUCUGUAUAUGUUGACUACUCUGAAGGUGUUUACCAAGAAGCUGGUGCCUUUUUUGUCUUCCUCUAGGUUUGCAGUAAUAUCACGUAGCCAGUAUCAUCUUAGUACAUCUGUUUUGUAUUUGGUUUUGUGGAAGAGUUUCGCUCUCGACAUGAUGCUCUUUUCUUGUGCACUACUACUGCAUGGUUUCAUCAUUUGCCUCGUUUUUUUUCUGGUUUGAUGGAUGGUAACACAGGGCAUAUGAAUCUCGCCUUUGUCAGAAUAUGGUCGGAAGUGUGUCCUAGCGACUGUGAGGGUACGGUGUGCCAUUCAUGUACUUGUGCAGAUUUUCUUUACACUGCGCUUUGUUUCAACAGUGUGCCGCUAGACCUUUUUUUGGUGUCUUCCAGUCGCAGAGCUUUGCCCACCAGACCCGAGAUUGUAGCUCUAAUGGAGAAGUGUGGGGGUAUGGGUUUAUGAUGACAUGCUCCAAGAUAUCAAAACACGUUUUCUCCUCCAAUAUGCAACGGAGAGAGAGCAGAACAAGGAAGGAUGUUCGAUGGACUUCACUACCUCCCAUAGCUGAUAGCUUCGCCAGGAUGCUUAUCAUCUGAAAUCGUUACGGCUUCGGUUUUGUACUAGCUUUCUAGUUGAGCUCAACAGAAACAGUUUGGAAAGGAAGGCAGCAAGAGGCCUUGGAAACUUACGUAGCCUAAACCUCACAAGCUGCAAGCACCCAACCCAGUUUCCAGACCUUCUGAAGGCGACUAAUCUUGAGGCUGUUAAACCCUCCAGUUAUUUUAACUGGGAAGUAUGACAGAACAAAGACGAAGCUGCAAUACAAUAAGCAGGAGGACUUUGGACCUUCGGUGUCACCGCUACUGGCUAGAUCUCUUUUUCUAUACUACUGUAAAUAUAUGGUCUAUGUUGAUGUAUAAAUAUUUCAGUCAAUGAAGCAUAUAGCCUACU